Poecile atricapillus (Black-capped chickadee) is the source of this 9465-nucleotide long non-coding RNA. RefSeq lists it as uncharacterized. The transcript is spliced from 3 exons. The record is from RefSeq and is a predicted model, not a curated record. Lineage: Eukaryota; Metazoa; Chordata; Aves; Passeriformes; Paridae.
UCUAUAACUAUUUGCUUUAAACAGAUAAAAAGACCUGAUCAUGAAGCUUCCGGAGCUCGCUGGCCAUCAAAUUUCAGAUCUUGGCAAACAAUCACUUUUGAUAAACAACCUGCAUCUUUCAUCAGAAUAGUUGGAACUCGCAACACAGCUAAUGAGGUGUUUCACUGUGUACAUUUUGAGUGCCCAGCACAAAACAGUACCCACAAGGACGAGAGUAGUAAGGAAGCAGCAGCAACAGAGGUGGAGACUGGUGGACAGUAGCUUGUUUCUUUUCCUGUUGGAGCUGCAAGCACCUGGUUCCCUGCAUUCCCCUCCUGGAUCCACCUCACAUCCUCAUGUUCAUCAAUGAUAAAGUAGGUUGAAAGGGAGCUUUUGCAGCCCCACUGACAUUCUGCAAAAUUAUUCAGAACCUUCUUGUGCUGGCACCUUUUCUUUCUUUGUGAAUGAAGGGGACCAUGUCUGAACGCUGUAAGUAUUGAAAUGCAAAAGGCUUUUUCCCAAGGACAUGAAGAGACAGUUUCACUCUUCCUUGAUAUGUUCAAAUCAGGAUGGUCUCCAAGGGGGGAGAAAAUAGGUCUUCAAUCUUCAUCAAGUACCCCACUAACACCCUACCUCUCUAAUCUAACCAAGGCAAGGGAAAAAGGAAGGAAACAAAAGGCAGAGCUACAAAUCUAAAAUUAUUCAAGCAGAAUGGAAGGCAUACAAAAUAAGUAUUUGUUCCCUGGAGGCUUUUAUUAGCAAAAAAAAUGUUUAUGGAACACAUCAGUCCAGAAUAUAUUUUAUUUUUUAGGUGAUUCUCCAUUCAUAUUACCUUGUAACUAGUAAUCUGUUUUCUAAAUAAUUUUGAUUUUGUAUUCCACUUAAUUUCUUAUUUUUGGCUCUAGAAAAUGUUGUACAGUAGAUUAAGGAAGUAUCAGACAUGUUUACCUGCUGAGAUGCAAAUUCUCUCAUUCAUCAGUGGGAUGACAAGAAAAGCGUUCAUGAUAUCAACAAACUAAUUAAUGUAUCUGUAUUAAUAUUCACCUUAGUUGACUUUUCAGAGUAUAAAAUUGUCAUUUCCUACAUUCAAAAGGAAGUUUCUAAAUCAAACAUCUGUCUUGAAGAAAAUUGUAUUUUUUCACUCUUGAAGAUGAUUAUUUAAAUUUUGUCUGCCUAAGACAACUUGCAACAGAACAUCAAAAAUGUUCAGUUUAGAAAAGUGAAACUCCAUCUGGUCACUGACAAACAGUAGUUCAAAUUCCAAAAGAAGAAUUCACAGAUAAUUUACAUUUUUCCAGUAAGACUUGUUUUACAGUCUGGAGCUAAAAAUUCAAAGGCUGUCUAUGCAUUAACAUUUCUCAUGAUCUUCAUAAAAUGUGAUGCUUCUGCACCACAUUGCAAAAGAUCUGGUUCUUAAUUUACAGUCACAGAAUUUGUUAUCCAUCUAUAUCUGUCUGGAUUACACUGCCUGCUACUUCACUUAUUCUGUUUUCACACUGAUGAUGAUGUAGUCUUUUACUCUCCAGAUCUACGUGACUUUUAGGAAGAACUCCAUGCCAGUCUUUCAGUAUGGAAUAAAGAGAUAAUGUAUUAACACAAAUGCUGAUGUAAUUGGCAAAAUUGAUUAGGAUGCUUCUUUCUCCUCACAAAGUAUAUUAUAUUGGAAAUGUCAGCAAACCAGUUUUAUGAACUUGGAAUUUCCUGUGGUGAUAAAUAACCUUGUCAGAAGAAAACAAAGCUAGUGCAGGAUAAGUACGGUUUUCCUUUACAUAACCACAAUGACAAAAUGAGUUAUAUCAACGUAGCAAAUAGUAUGUUAAUUUAUCACACUACUUAAUUUGAAAUAAUUUUCCUGUUGGAUCCUGGUUGUGCUAAACCCAAGAAGAAAUAUAAUCAGUGGUAGCAAUGAAUCAGAGGAUAUUUAAAAUAAGAAAAGCAUCCCUUUUCUUUAAAAUAAAAUUGGUUAGGCUUUAUCGAUAAUAUUAUAGUUUUUUCAUUGCCAAAUUAGUUUUGUUCUGACAUUUGCAUACAGUUCCCUCCCUUCCCACUGCCAUAUUCUGACUUGUGAAUGUCUGUUGGUGAGGAUGGUUGCCCACUGUGCUGUAAAAAGCUUGUAAUUCAUGUGCCACAGCUGCCUUAGACAGUGCGGAGUUCUAAGGCAGGAUUCUGCUUGUGCCAGCCACUUCCCCCCAGUCUGCUGGGAUAAUUACCUUAUGGCUUAACAGCCUUUGGAACAUGGAAGAAUUGAGACCAGCUGUUGAGGACACCACUGUAAUGUUUAUGUAUAAGUCAAAAAAGUUCUAUUUUUUUUCCCUUUAAAAGCAGAAAACUUCUUCAGUUGCAAUCCAUGAUGGAACUGCUGAGAUGCCUAGAGCAUAUCUUGCUUUUGGUAGAUAAGUCCUUGCAUGGCAGUGGUGGUAUUUCUUUGCAGUUCCAUCAAACAAGUCUGCUUUUCUCAAACUGUGGGUAAGCAAAGGGCAUAACUUCCUAGCUGUUACUAUUUAGUAGCCACCCUUGUAGAGAAUGUAAAAAAAACUAAAAUAAAAAAGGUUGUGCCAUCUGUUCUGAGCCUAGGCUCUCAGAGAAAGAAUGGAAUUUUUCCAUCUGUAAUCUUUGAUGUGCAUCAUUAAUUUUUAUAAUGCAAGUAAGUCCUGUAGACUAUAACCUAUGGAACAUCUUUUUGAUCUUGUCUUGUAACUCACUGUGGAACAAAAAUGUCUCUUUAUUUCCCAUGAUAUUCACUCUCUCCCAAAAAUCUGGAUGAACAUAUCUGAGAUCCCCAAAGCAAAAACUCUAAGGUUCUACAGAGCCUUCAGUUUCCCACCCCCAUAAAACAAUACAAAGAAAAGCCAACUUUGCAUUAUCCCUUCAUGCAGUUGAAUAGCAAUUUUUUGUAUUAAACUUCUCAGUCACAAUGGCCUUCUCAGAGUAUUUUAUUUAGAGUUGCUCUGAGAACCUGUCAUCAAGGUGAGUCCAGUGAGCUUCCAGGCUUUUAAGGCAAGGCCUGCCACAAGCCCUUUACACUUUCAACCUUUCCCUCUUUAUUUAAAGAUGUAAUGUUUACAGAGAGCUGAACUCCACUGGGCCUUCUAAUAUUGCCCACCAACAAACACCCCUAAUACAUGUAUUGCCUAGAAGCGGUCUCUUGUCUUAAACAUUGUGUCAGCAAUGUAUUAGUAGUGACAAAGGAGGAUACAACACAGAACUGAUUUGUGGGUUUGUGUGCAUGUUCUCAUUCUUUCUAAUUAUUGUCAGUAUUUAUUGACUCCCAAGUUCAGAUGAAACUUCCUCUGAAGUUUUGUGGAAUUUUUUUUCCCUUUUCUUUUUUAUAUUUGCUUUUUCUUUCAGUGAAAGUAUGUUGUACUGUUAUGGUGUAGUAUCAAGGUUUAUCAAAGUGAUGAAAUGCUGUAAUUAUUCAGAACUGUGUAAUCAGUCUUUUCCUAUUUAGAAAAAGGUUAUUGCAGAACUGACCAGGUACUCAUUGCUUUCUUAUCAGAAACUAUAAAAUAGAUCUGUUGUUUGAGUUUUGAAUAAUGGAAAUAUCUGUACUGUCAAUAUUGAGCCAUUGAUUCUAUUUGGUACUUCAAUAUCUUUAAAUUCCCCAGGUCUCCUUUUCUCAAUUUUACUUCCAUAGGCUGAAUUCAGGCUGAGACUUAAAUCAUAUGGAGCUCAACAAAGGUCUUUCUAAAAUCUUCUUAUUUGGUUAACUUUUUCCAAAUGAAAAUAAAAGGUAUUUUAUUCACAGAAGGUAUUAUCUGAGGAAAUACAUUUUUGAAGUGAGCAAACAUUGUGCAGCUUACAAUUCUUCAGGAUACUUUUCAAGCCAUUUCCAAUCAGCUUUAAAACAAGUUUAAAUGGCUGUUAAAUGGAAUCACAAUGAGAGAAGGUAAUGCAAGUCUUAUGUAAAAGACAAUACAGAGGAGAAAUCACUAAUUUUGUUAGAAUAAGAACUCUUCAUUGCAGUUUCCUUCCUUCAGAGCUCCAUUUAUUUCUUCUUUUCUCCAUGAAAAUCAGUUUUUCUUACUCAUUAUGACUACUCAUGUAAGAGCUCAGUGCUUCUCAGCAUUGCUGAAAAAUUCAGUUUAAUGCAUCUUCAUCUUUAAUAAUGACAUCAGAGAAUUUUCAGUACCUGACUUUAUGAGAGUUGAUUUCCAUGAAAGCAAGCAAAAGAAGUCUGUAAUUAUUUCAGUCUAAUUAAAUUUUCAGUACAAAAAUUAGAUGACAGAAUUAAUGCCAUUCUUGUCUGAUUGUUGUGUCAUCAUAGUUCUGGUUAUAAAGUGAUGCCUAUUCAGAGAUGCUUAAUAAAGUAUUAGAACUUUGAUUUCAUAAGCUAUAGAUUGCAUAUCUAUGAAAAUAUUAAUUUGCUUAUAUUUUGACAGAGGUUAGUCUACUGUCAAAUAAACAAAUGAAUGCAUUGGUAAUUUUGUUGUUGUGGCUAGAUUAGUAAGCAAAUUAUAGAGGCAGUAAGAGUUAAUAUAUCCAAGAGUAAAUGAUUAGGCUUGUGCAUCAUCGUAUCAGUUGCCAGAGGACUAAACUAUGCUUCAAAAAUAAUUAUUGUUCACAGAAGAUGCUUGAGGCCUGGGUUCCAUCCCCAUCUCUCAGUUAAUGGUUCUAUUUAGGUUAGAAUCAUUAAUUCUCUCUGAUUGUUGUUGUCAGUUGUACUAGUUAACUCAUAUAUAUGUAGAAGCUCCACAAAGGUUUGUUCAGGAUACAGAAGUUAAAGGUCCCGAGCCAAGCUUUAGGACUGCUUAAAUACUCAUAUAGAUAUACAUAUAUGUAUAUAUGUGUGUGUGUGUGUGUGUGUGUGUGUGUGUGUGUGUGUGUGUGUGUGUGUAUACAUAUACGUAUAUAUAUAUAUAUAUAUGUGUGUGUGUAUAUGUGCAUUAAACUGAGGUCGUAGGUAAUUAUUUAGCUUACAUUUAGAAUAUAUUCUAAAGCUCCAAAAUUUAAAAAAAAAGAAAUCUGUGCAGGCAGGUGUGAAAUGCUGCUGUUGUGGUACGGCAGGAUGCUGGUUGCUUUUGAAGUGCGAAUGUGUAAAAAAGAUACAGGCAAACCAGUCCAAAGUUUUUGUCCAGUUGUUAAAUAUUGGCAAUUUGGCUGUAGUGAGGUGUACACAAUAUAGAGCAAGUUAAAUGCUCAUCUCAAAGAUGGGUGCAGUCUGAAGAACACAGAUAUUCCUCCUAGCUGCCUUGUCUGCCGUGGCUUGCAGUAUUUACAGAGAGAACCUUCAUAGGACUUCUGUUACCUGCUGAAAAAAAAACCUGCAGUCUUUUUGGCCCUUGCCAAGCUUUUAUUGCAAAGCUUUGGCUGAGGUAAUGACCAAGUGUGGAAUCUGGGUCUGUGUUUGAAUGUUUACAUGAAAAGGUUUAAAAUCACUCUGCAACUUUCUUUAGAUUAAGAAAGCCCAAUUAAAAAGUGCAGCAUAGUAUGAGGAAACUACAGGUAUCUGUCAUAUGCCCAUGUACUGACUGCCUGUGCAACCACAUACCUAUCUUAUCAUGCUGUAUGUGUUUAAUUACUCCAAUAUGUCCAGAUGGUGGAAGUAAAGAAUGGGCUCCAUACACUCAUGUCAUUAUCCAUUUUCACACAGCCAGUCAUUAGAGAAGUACUUCUUAUACUGUUCCUUGCUGGCCUAGUACAAUAAUACAAGUCAGUGUUCUAAAAAAAUCAUAAUAGAUUCCUUACAUGAACGUAAUGGAAUUGAAGUUCCAAUUACUAAAUAUUUGAAUGAGUGGUGGCAUCACCCUGCACAGGUGUAAACAUGCCUCUUCAUUGUCUCUUACUACUUUAGGCCCUGGGCUAUCACAGAGGAGGAGAGCUGCACUAUUGGUAAAAUGAAUUUUUAUUCAUCCUUUUUGUACUUAUCAUCUUGGCACAUCUAUUCGCUUUGUGCAGCUGCUCAAUUAAAACAAGUUUCUCAUCAUUUUCAGAAUUGUCCUUUGACUCCUGAAAUCUGCCAGAUUCGUAUCAACCACUUCAGUCAAUUAUAUUAAGUGGUCUGAAAAAUUUACUAAAUUAAUAUAGGAUGGUCUUUAACACCAAAUUCUUUGUGUCCAAAAAGUACCAGUUAAGUCCUGAAAUACCAAGUGAGUUGGACAGUUUUACUGCUAUGUGCCCUGUAAUCCAAGUGAACAGUAGUUCUCAUAGCAUCUUUCUGUAGAGGGAGGAAUCAGGGAAUCACAGAAUGAUUUGGUUGGAAGGGACUGCAAAGAUCAUUGAGUUCCCAACCUUCCUUCCAUGACAGGGACACAUUUUUCUAGACAGGUUGCUCAGAGACCCAUCCAAGUUGGUCUUGAACACUUCCAGGGAUGGGCAUCCACAGCUUCUCUGGGCAACCUGUUCCAGUGCUUCACCACCCUCACAGUAAAGAAUUUCUUCCUAGGACCUAAACCCACUCUCUGUCAGUUUUAAGCCAUUCCCCUUGUCCUUGUAGACAUCUCUCAUGUAGCCUCCUUUUAAGUAUGGACAGCAGCAGUCAGGUCAUCCAAAAGCCUUCUCUUUUACAGGCUGAGUAAUCCCAGUUCAGCCUUUCCUUCAUUCAUAUAAUUUGUGGUCUACAUCACCUAUCUGUUGUCUCUGUUCUCCUGAGCUAUAGUUGCUACAUAGUGAGAUUUGUGGUUGAUACCUAGAAUGGAAUAAGUGUGUUUAACCACAGAUGUUACGAAAUUUUUGUCUUUACUCAAAACUUUUAGCUUGUGCUUUGGAACAUGGUCAGGCCACAGAAUUGGCUUUUGGGCAUCUUCUAUGCUGUCUGUUGGAUUUUUGACUUAUCUUCAGUUGUUAAAAGAUGGUAAGAUUCCUCUCAAGAAUUUCUCAUAGAGAUUUGUCAGCUGAGAAAUGGCUUUUGAGACAAUCAUGACAGGUUCAUUGCUGGAGAACAGGAGCAGGUUUCUUCUCUUCUACAGGCCAGGAUCCUGGUUAGGUUAUUCUCCAAGUUUAUUUUUGCCAUUCUCAAUAACAAGGGUGUUGGUGUUGCGUGAUCUGGAUCUGUUUCAGAAAUUGUAUUACUUAUUUUGAGAGGUAAAUACUUAAUGUUUUUAUGCAGUAAUACAAAGCUCAUGAGGGCUGGAUGUUUAGAUUAGAAAUAUCACUUAAAGCAAGAGCUGGAGUUGCAAAAAGAGUAGUUUGGGGGAAAGAAAGACUGGUAUGGAAUUACGUGGUUGCAUCUAUGCAUAUGUAGCAAUGGAAAUGUAUUUGUUAAGCAAAAUGAGUGACUAUUUGCAAAGAUGUGUUUCUACACAGCCUAUUUUUUGUUAAAAAAUGGAAUUUUGUUAAGGAAUCUAUCAUUCAUCUGAGUGCUAAAAGAGAACAUAGGAAGUGAGGCUUUAGUAGUUUUUUUGGCAAGAGCAACACAAAGAUAAAAUUCUUGCAGUCUGAGCUAGUUCUGUUUGGCCCCAAUCUUUCCAGCUCUUCCUUUUUCCUACAUGCUUUCCCCAACCUGCUUCUUACUCCUUUUCUUUUCCUCCCUACAUAGCAUUGUAUCACUGUUGCUGGUGUGUUCCCUGUAAUUUUCCUCUGUAUUAUGAUGUAUUAAGGAAUUAUUAAAAAUUAUUUAUUUUUACCUCUUUAUCCUAUGUUGACUAAAAUAUCAUCAUCCCCUUUAAUUCACAUCAGAUUCUAAAGGCAACUACCACUAGGCUGUCAAGUGCUAGUGAGCAACAUUUGAAUUUGGCUUUCUAUGGAUGUGUGAAAUACUAGUCCUUUUGAACCUUAUAUUUCCGUGAUUUGAUUACAGUCUGUUACCCUUAAGAGAAAAAUAAGUAAGAAAUUUAUUGUUGACUUAGGAAGUAGGUCAGGUUUUACACUGGCUUACAUAACUUAAGUUUAAAUAUAAAUGUGAAGUAUUUCUUUCUCACCACGGUACACCAAAUGUAUGCUCAACUUGCUAGUUGUCCAUUGUCUAAGGCAUUAAUUGUACAUAAGUGCUCUUUCCUAAGUGAACUGCAUCAUCAAGAGUGAACCUUGAAAGAAUUCAUAACUUUUCAGUGUGUCUGUGUGAAGGUAUUUCAGCUGUCUAGGGAUCUGAACAUCACACUGACCACAUGGACUCAUUUUGUUAAGUACGGCAUUACUUCACAAUUUGGAUCCCCUGUCUAUUAACCUUAUCCAGUCUCUUGUAAAAUGUUCUUUCAUUUUUGCUUUGCUCAAUUUCACUAUUGUCUUUGGUUUUCUUUUUUAAGUGAAUGUUAAUGUUCAGAGCCAGGCUAAAUAGAAGUUUAGCUUUUAGUGAACUUUUUCACUUAUUCUCCUGUUAGUGGCUCCUCUUUCUUGACACACAGUAAUUUAAAUCCAUUUCACACUAUGUUACCAUCCCUUUCUCUGUAGCAAUUAUAAUUGUAUCUUGAAAUUUUUGUGUAUUAAAUUCCUUUCCUUCUUUCUCAUAGAGUGGUUCUAAACUACCUCAGACUUUGUUGUGAACAGGUAUAAGUUUUGGCUACAGUUUUUAGCCUCUAUUGUAAUCUUUGAAUGUUCUUUAAGUAUAUGUGUAUGUAGCAAAACCAGCCUGCCAGACCCUGACUGCAUUUUCAGGAAUACUGUCCCAAGCGAGACAUGUAAUUGGGAUGAAUUCACAGCCACACUGGCUGUUCAGGCUCUCGCUGAUACCUCUAUCAAGAAAAGUUUUUCAGGAGGGCAACUUCUGGUAUGGAAAGUGCUUCAGCUUUCUCUUUGAAGGGACAUGAUGCUGCCUGCACUAGAUGACUUCCACCUCUCCAUAAUCGCGACAAGCAUCAUAAAACUGCAUCAUCAGGCCUCCAUCCCUGGCUCCAGGAUACAUGCUGUUGCACUGGACUAUGUUCAUCAUAUGAGAACAAACCCCUCAUGAUGGUGUGUUCUCAUGACCUUGGUGUCAUUUUAUACUGCAGCAGAUGUGCAUUACCAACCCUUUGGGCUAUAAUUAGGUUUCAGGUAAAAUGGUGGUUGCAGAUUGUGCUGCAGUUGAUAACUUUGGGAAUUGUCUGGUUUUGUAAGUUAACAACCCAACAAACCAUGUUAGUGUUGAUUUUCUUUUCACCAGCAGACAUGUAUAUCAUCAAACAAGCAUUUUGUAACAUGGGAUUUUCUAUGAGCAUCCAGAAAAAGAAGCAUCCCAAUUAUUUUCUUAGUAGCAAUGUGUGUAUUUGUAAUGGAAGUUUUAGAAUUAUUAAACUACUGCAAGCUAUUUUGUGCAUGCUCUGGCAUUGUGUGAACAGUUUGUAUUAAUAGCUGAUAAGCAGAGGGCUGUGGCGAACAAGGAAGGCUGGCUGUAGAUUUUGCAGUUUCAAAGAGCAGCAGAGUGCCAGAAUGGAUGCAGGACCAGACUGCUCAAAGCAAAUCAUAAAGUGAAACUGUUGUGCUUUGUAUUUAUUUAUUUGGGGAUUCUUCUUCAAAAGUAUUUAACUUGACAGGAAAAUAUAAAGUAUAUUUAAAAUAGUAACAAUUAGAAAUACACCUUUUCAAGAAUGAGAGAGGUGUGAUUUGAAAAAUAAAGUGAUCUUUUGUGCUUAA